UUCCGUGCUGUGACGAAGCAAUUUUUUGGACUAGAGUUUCUGAUCUGGGAUUCUUCACCCCGGAAUUUGAUUAUUAACCCUUGGCUGUCUGAGCACACUU
Molecule: small nucleolar RNA, 100 nt
Organism: Arachis stenosperma
Lineage: Eukaryota; Viridiplantae; Streptophyta; Magnoliopsida; Fabales; Fabaceae
Product: small nucleolar RNA Z157/R69/R10
Exons: 1
Source: RefSeq, a predicted model, not a curated record